UAGAGUUUGAUCAUGGCUCAGAUUGAACGCUGGCGGCAGGCUUAACACAUGCAAGUCGAGCGGUAACAGGAAUAGCUUGCUAUUUGCUGACGAGCGGCGGACGGGUGAGUAAUGCUUGGGAAUAUGCCUUAUGGUGGGGGACAACAGUUGGAAACGACUGCUAAUACCGCAUAAUGUCUACGGACCAAAGGGGGGGAUCUUCGGACCUCUCGCCAUUUGAUUAGCCCAAGUGAGAUUAGCUAGUUGGUAAGGUAAUGGCUUACCAAGGCGACGAUCUCUAGCUGGUUUGAGAGGAUGAUCAGCCACACUGGGACUGAGACACGGCCCAGACUCCUACGGGAGGCAGCAGUGGGGAAUAUUGCACAAUGGGGGGAACCCUGAUGCAGCCAUGCCGCGUGUGUGAAGAAGGCCUUCGGGUUGUAAAGCACUUUCAGUUGUGAGGAAAGGUGUGUAGUUAAUAGCUGUAUACUGUGACGUUAACAACAGAAGAAGCACCGGCUAACUUCGUGCCAGCAGCCGCGGUAAUACGAGGGGUGCAAGCGUUAAUCGGAAUUACUGGGCGUAAAGCGUUCGUAGGCGGUUGAAUAAGCAAGAUGUGAAAGCCCAGGGCUCAACCUUGGAACUGCAUUUUGAACUGUUCAACUAGAGUACUGUAGAGGGGGGUAGAAUUUCA
This 673-nucleotide ribosomal RNA is filed under the name uncultured Vibrionaceae bacterium. Its description in RNAcentral is "bacterial SSU rRNA". It matches the Rfam family "Bacterial small subunit ribosomal RNA", at positions 1 to 671 of the family's 1533-position model. The record is from RNAcentral. Lineage: Bacteria; Pseudomonadati; Pseudomonadota; Gammaproteobacteria; Vibrionales; Vibrionaceae.